This is a non-coding RNA of Myodes glareolus (Bank vole), 126 nucleotides long. The record is from RefSeq and is a predicted model, not a curated record. NCBI's taxonomy places the organism in Eukaryota, Metazoa, Chordata, Mammalia, Rodentia, Cricetidae.
GUUGAAAGGAUGCAGCGCUGUGCUCUGCAGAGCAAGGAAACAUCUUCUAGGGGCUCUCAAGAACUACUGAAACCCGUCCCUGACAAGACCCUCCUCCCUCUUGGAGCAUGCAGAGUCAUCCUGCGA